UACGAAGGGUGCAAGCGUUACUCGGAAUUACUGGGCGUAAAGCGUGCGUAGGUGGUUCGUUAAGUCCGAUGUGAAAGCCCUGGGCUCAACCUGGGAAUGGCAUUGGAUACUGGCGGGCUAGAGUGCGGUAGAGGGCAGUGGAAUUCCCGGUGUAGCAGUGAAAUGCGUAGAUAUCCGGAGGAACACCGGUGGCGAAGGCGGCUUCCUGGACCGAUACUGACGCUGAGGCGCGAAAGCUAGGGGAGCAAACGGG
RNAcentral lists this ribosomal RNA (253 nucleotides) under uncultured bacterium. RNAcentral's name for it is "partial 16S ribosomal RNA". It matches the Rfam family "Bacterial small subunit ribosomal RNA", at positions 524 to 776 of the family's 1533-position model. The record is from RNAcentral.